This 465-nucleotide ribosomal RNA is filed under the name uncultured bacterium. RNAcentral's name for it is "partial 16S ribosomal RNA". It matches the Rfam family "Bacterial small subunit ribosomal RNA", at positions 28 to 507 of the family's 1533-position model. The record is from RNAcentral.
GACGAGCGCUGGCGGCGUGCUUAACACAUGCAAGUCGAACGGAAAGGCCCUGCUUGCCGGGUACUCGAGUGGCGAACGGGUGAGUAACACGUGGGUGAUCUGCCCUGCACUUCGGGAUAAGCCUGGGAAACUGGGUCUAAUACCGGAUAGGAGCCAUUUUUAGUGUGAUGGUUGGAAAGUUUUUUCGGUGUAGGAUGAGCUCGCGGCCUAUCAGCUUGUUGGUGGGGUAAUGGCCUACCAAGGCGGCGACGGGUAGCCGGCCUGAGAGGGUGGACGGCCACAUUGGGACUGAGAUACGGCCCAGACUCCUACGGGAGGCAGCAGUGGGGAAUAUUGCACAAUGGGCGCAAGCCUGAUGCAGCGACGCCGCGUGGGGGAUGACGGCCUUCGGGUUGUAAACGCCUUUCGCUAGGGACGAAGCUUUUUGUGACGGUACCUAGAUAAGAAGCACCGGCUAACUACGUG